Molecule: ribosomal RNA, 795 nt
Filed under: Psathyrella effibulata
Lineage: Eukaryota; Fungi; Basidiomycota; Agaricomycetes; Agaricales; Psathyrellaceae
Description: LSU rRNA
Rfam family: Eukaryotic large subunit ribosomal RNA
Source: RNAcentral
UUCCCCUAGUAACUGCGAGUGAAGCGGGAAAAGCUCAAAUUUAAAAUCUGGUGGUCUUUGGCCAUCCGAGUUGUAAUCUAGAGAAGUGUUACCCGCGUCGGACCGUGUACAAGUCUCCUGGAAUGGAGCGUCAUAGAGGGUGAGAAUCCCGUCUUUGACACGGACUACCGAGGCUUUGUGGUGCGCUCUCAACGAGUCGAGUUGUUUGGGAAUGCAGCUCAAAAUGGGUGGUAAAUUCCAUCUAAAGCUAAAUAUUGGCGAGAGACCGAUAGCGAACAAGUACCGUGAGGGAAAGAUGAAAAGAACUUUGGAAAGAGAGUUAAACAGUACGUGAAAUUGCUGAAAGGGAAACGCUUGAAGUCAGUCGCGUUGGCCGGAAAUCAGCCUUGCUUUUGCUGGGUGUACUUUCUGGUUGACGGGCCAGCAUCAGUUUUGACYGGUGGAAAAAGUUCAGAGGAAUGUGGCAUCUUCGGAUGUGUUAUAGCCUUUGGUCGUAUACAUCGGUUGGGACUGAGGAACUCAGCACGCCGAAAGGCCGGGUCUUUGACCACGUUCGUGCUUAGGAUGCUGGCAUAAUGGCUUUAAUCGACCCGUCUUGAAACACGGACCAAGGAGUCUAACAUGCCUGCGAGUGUUUGGGUGGAAAACCCGGACGCGUAAUGAAAGUGAAAGUUGAGAUCCCUGUCAUGGGGAGCAUCGACGCCCGGACCAGAAGUUCUCUGACGGCCCUGCGGUAGAGCAUGUAUGUUGGGACCCGAAAGAUGGUGAACUAUGCCUGAAUAGGGUGAAGCCAGA